ACAACAUCAUGGGUAAGUGUUUAGAUGAAUACAUAAGUUAAACAUAACAUUGAUGUCCAAAGUUCUUUAGUAUAGCUGACAUGGAAUGUUAUUUAAAUACGCAAAGAUAGGAAGUGGGGGGAGGUGCACAGCUGGUGGGGAAGAAGGCACUCAGAACUGUGCCAACGAACAGUUUUGCUUGAAUAGCUGAAGAGCAUUAAAAUUAGGAGAAUACAAUGAGCAGAUAAGAAUCAUGUGUAUAAUUAACUCCAAAUUUUCAUUUGACAUAAUAAAGGUCACUCUUUCAUCAAUGACCAUUUCAUCUAAUCAUACUUUUUUUAAAGCAAUAAGUAAAAUUUUAAUAUAGCUUGUCAAAUAGAUGCCUAAAAUAUCCCAAUCCAAUAUCUAUUUUACUAUUCUGUUCUGUGCUAUGAACUGUAUAAGUUUUGAAAAAGAAAUCCUUUUUUUUUUUUCCAAUUCACUAGCCCACAUUUGUAAUUGAGCUGGUAAUCUCUACCUCUCACCUCUAUCACCCCCAGUUAAAACUAUUGAGAACCACAGCUUCAUAGAGCACUUUGGGUACACAAGGACACAUGGUAAGAAAUGUGACCUUUUUCUAUCAUCAAGUCAGAGUGUCUCACAUUUUCUUGUGUUUUCACUGAUGAAUUUAAAACCUCAGCAGUAGUCAAGUUCAUA
Molecule: long non-coding RNA, 675 nt
Filed under: Bos taurus (domestic cattle)
Lineage: Eukaryota; Metazoa; Chordata; Mammalia; Artiodactyla; Bovidae
Description: long non-coding RNA NONBTAT018760
Source: RNAcentral